RNAcentral lists this ribosomal RNA (369 nucleotides) under uncultured bacterium. Its description in RNAcentral is "bacterial SSU rRNA". It matches the Rfam family "Bacterial small subunit ribosomal RNA", at positions 527 to 896 of the family's 1533-position model. The record is from RNAcentral.
AGAGGGUGCGAGCKUUAAUCGGAAUUACUGGGCGUAAAGGGCGCGUAGGCGGAUAAAUGGGUGUGAUGUGAAAGCCCCSGGCUUAACCUGGGAAGCGCAUCGCAAACUGUUAAUCUGGAAUAGAUGAGAGGGUGGCGGAAUUUCCGGUGUAGCGGUGAAAUGCGUAGAGAUCGGAAGGAACGUCGAUGGCGAAGGCAGCCACCUGGCAUCAUACUGACGCUGAGGCGCGAAAGCGUGGGGAGCGAACAGGAUUAGAUACCCUGGUAGUCCMCGCUGUAAACGAUGAGGACUAAAUGUUGGUGGGGGAACCCMUCAGUAYYGAMGCUAACGCGAUAAGUCUUCCGCCUGGGAAGUACGGCCGCAAGGUUG